UAGGGAAUAUUGGUAAUCUGGGAAACCGGGAACCAGCAACGCCGCGUGCGCGAUGAAGGCCUUCGGGUCGUAAAGCCCUGUCAGGUGGGAAGAAUGUCCCGGGACUGAACAGGUUCCGGGAGUGACGGUACCACCAGAGGAAGCACCGGCUAACUCCGUGCCAGCAGCCGCGGUAAUACGGAGGGUGCAAGCGUUAUUCGGAAUUACUGGGCGUAAAGCGCGUGUAGGCGGUCCUGCAAGUCUGAUGUGAAAGCCCCGGGCUUAACCCGGGAAGUGCAUUGGAAACUGUGGGACUUGAGUGCUGGAGAGGAUGGGGGAAUUCCCGGUGUAGAGGUGAAAUUCGUAGAGAUCGGGAGGAAUAUCAGUGGCGAAGGCGCCCAUCUGGACCAUUCCUGACACUCAGACGCGAAAGCUAGGGUAGCAAACG
Molecule: ribosomal RNA, 427 nt
Filed under: uncultured prokaryote
Description: bacterial SSU rRNA
Rfam family: Bacterial small subunit ribosomal RNA
Source: RNAcentral